This 253-nucleotide ribosomal RNA is filed under the name uncultured bacterium. RNAcentral describes it as "partial 16S ribosomal RNA". It matches the Rfam family "Bacterial small subunit ribosomal RNA", at positions 524 to 776 of the family's 1533-position model. The record is from RNAcentral.
UACGUAGGCAGCGAGCGUUGUUCGGAGUUACUGGGCGUAAAGAGUGCGUAGGCGGUUUUCUAAGUUUGGUGUGAAAUCUCCCGGCUUAGCUGGGAGGGUGCGCCGAAAACUGGAAGGCUUGAGUAUGGGAGAGGUAAGCGGAAUUCCUGGUGUAGCGGUGAAAUGCGUAGAUAUCAGGAGGAACACCUGCGGUGUAGACGGCUUACUGGACCAUAACUGACGCUGAGGCACGAAAGCGUGGGUAGCAAACAGG